RNAcentral lists this long non-coding RNA (2284 nucleotides) under Sus scrofa (pig). RNAcentral's name for it is "lncRNA (ENSSSCG00040020024.1)". Lineage: Eukaryota; Metazoa; Chordata; Mammalia; Artiodactyla; Suidae. The record is from RNAcentral.
UUUUUUUUCUCUUUUUGUCUUUUUAGGGCCACACCUGUGGCAUAUGGAAGUUCCCAGGCUAGGGGUCUAAUCAAAGCUGUAGCUGUCAGCCUACACCACAGCCACAGCAACGCCAGACCUGAGCUGUGUCUGCAAACUACACCACAGAUCACGGCAGCACCGGAUCCUUAACCCACGGAUCGACGCCAGGAAUCGAACUUGCAACCUUAUGGUUCCUAGUCAGAUUAGUUUUCACUGCACCACGACGGGAACUCCAUGGGCCACAUAUAAUUUUAAUGAAUGCAAAUGGGUUGUGUUAUGGAUCUCACUCCUGGACUUUUUUUCUCUCGGCUCUGUUUUAAGCUGCUCCAUUUGGCCGUCUGUACAUCAAAUCUGUUACUUCUGACUGCUGCGGGUGGGGACGUAUCACCCAGAUCCGAGGAUAGAAUGGGGAGGCUGGUAGCCAGCACAUGGGGCUUGUGAGCGCUACCCCCUCCCACAUCCCACAGCCCCCCACCGCCCCUGGGGGUGGGGUGGAGCCAUCUGAAAGGGCACAGCCCGGAGGCCCUGGAACAUUAGAUUUGUUUCACCUAAUCUCCAGCAGGACCUGGCUCCUUAGCUGUGUUACAAACAGGCGCUAUGACUGCCAUGCAUCUAAGUCCAUCCAAUUAAGCUCAGAUUAAUUUCAGAGGUGCUGGCCUUCGUUGGGGGUGAGCACAGCAGAGAUGGGGGAUGUGGAGCAGGGUGGGGAGGAGGAAAGCAGGAGAGGAGCUCUGAGGAGCUGGGCUCUGAGGAGCUGCAUGUAAAGCACGUUCUGUUCAUCUCCAGCCCCUGAGCAGGGUAGGCAGGGGUAUCAGGGUCACAUCUUCAGUGCGUCUUCCUCCCUCCAGCUCCCAGCACCAGGAUAUAGAAACUUUCAGAGAAGGGCUGUGAACCCCAGGGUUUUUGGGGCAGAACCUGGCGCUGGGUUCAGGUCCAAGCAUCCAGGAGGGGCCCUACAGGCCAGGAGCCGGCUGGCAGGUGGACAGCAAAGAAGGCUGCUCCUCAGUCCCCACACUGCCCACCUGCCAAGGCCCCACUGGAGUUGGGGGACAGAAUUCUGAUUAAGUGCUGACUCUGCCCUCCAGCUUCCGGAGGAGAGGGAGUGGAGGAGACCCUCCCUCCUGGUAGUACAGCUCCUCAAACGGGCUUCCCCAGCCCUAGGGCCAUAGAGGUACCUGGGGGGUUGCCCAUCCCCCAGUGCUUGCCCAUCUGAGCACCUGACUGAGAGCUUUUGAAGAAACAGCUCUGCUGCCAUUUGAAAACUACUCCAAGGCAUCGCCUGGUCUUAGGUGAAAUGCCUCUGAUCCUCAACAUCUUGAUGAAAAUGCGUCCUCUGGUGGCUCCAUGGGUUAAGGAUCUGGCGUUGUCACUGCUAUGGUUCUGUUACUGCUGUGACUCUGGUUACUGCUGUGGUGUGCGGUGUGGGUUCGAUCCCUUCCAUGUGCUUUGGGUACAGCCAAAAAAAAAAAAAAAAUUUAAAAACAAAAGAAAAACAAAAACAGAAAAUGAGUCUAAGCACUUUUCUCCUGACCAAGCAGUUUGUUUUUGGGGUUUUUUUGUUUGUUUUUAUUUUUUUGUCUUUUGACCUUUUAGGGCCGCACCUGUGGCAUAUAGAGGUUCCCAGGUUAGGGGUCAAAUUGGAGCUGUUGUCGCCAUCCUACACCACAGCCACAGCAAUACCAGAUCUGAGCCGCCUCUGUGACCUACACCACAGCUCACAGCAAUGCCAGAUCCUUAACCCACUGAGCGAGGCCGGGGUCAUCAUACAUCACCUGAGUGAUGCUGGGGGAUGAAGCUGAUCAGAUACAGAGGGGGAGGGAUUCUGGCUAAACUGACCAACAGAGCAGGAUUCUUGCUAAAAUUGUGCAAUGCAGAGACCAACACAGAAGCCCAAAAGUCAGGGCCCAUUUGAUCAGAGAAUUCAGAAGACCCUGACUAGAGUUUGUUCAAGGAGAGAAUCUUUGUCAGUAAUGGGAGUCCACUUCCAUUUUGAAUAGGGGUUGAUAAGAACCAAAUUUCUGAUCUUUUGCAUUUGGUGAUCAGAAGAACGUUCCGCAGGAGUUCCCAUUGUGGCUCAGCGGUUAGCAAACCUGACAAGCAUCCAUGAGGAUGUGGGUUCAAUCCUUGGCCUCAUUCAGUCGGUUAAGGAUCUGGCGUUGCCAUGGCUGUGGUGCAGGUUGCAGAGGCGGCUUGGAUCCUGAGUUGCUGUGGCUGUGCGUAGGCAGGCGGCUACAGUUCCGAUUGGACCCCUAGCCUGGAAGCC